CCUACGGGCGGCUGCAGUGGGGAAUAUUGGACAAUGGGGGCAACCCUGAUCCAGCCAUGCCGCGUGUGUGAAGAAGGCCCUCGGGUUGUAAAGCACUUUCAGUGAGGAAGAACGCCUGGUGGUUAAUACCCAUCAGGAAAGACAUCACUCACAGAAGAAGCACCGGCUAACUCCGUGUCAGCAGCCGCGGUAAUACGGAGGGUGCGAGCGUUAAUCGGAAUCACUGGGCGUAAAGCGCGCGUAGGUGGCUUGAUAAGCCGGUUGUGAAAGCCCCGGGCUCAACCUGGGAACGGCAUCCGGAACUGUCAAGCUAGAGUGCAGGAGAGGAAGGUAGAAUUCCCGGUGUAGUGGUGAAAUGCGUAGAGAUCGGGAGGAAUACCAGUGGCGAAGGCGGCCUUCUGGACUGACACUGACACUGAGGUGCGAAAGCGUGGGUAGCAAACAGGAUUAGAUACCCUUGUAGUC
Molecule: ribosomal RNA, 465 nt
Filed under: Vreelandella stevensii
Lineage: Bacteria; Pseudomonadati; Pseudomonadota; Gammaproteobacteria; Oceanospirillales; Halomonadaceae
Description: partial 16S ribosomal RNA
Rfam family: Bacterial small subunit ribosomal RNA
Source: RNAcentral